Molecule: ribosomal RNA, 301 nt
Filed under: uncultured bacterium
Lineage: Bacteria
Description: partial 16S ribosomal RNA
Rfam family: Bacterial small subunit ribosomal RNA
Source: RNAcentral
CAGCAGCCACGGUAAUACGAAGGGGGCUAGCGUUGCUCGGAAUUACUGGGCGUAAAGGGAGCGUAGGUGGUGGUUUAAGUCCGUUGUGAAAGCCCUGGGCUCAACCUGGGAAUUGCAGUGGAUACUGGGUCACUAGAGUGUGGUAGAGGAUAGUGGAAUUUCCGGUGUAGCAGUGAAAUGCGUAGAGAUCGGAAGGAACAUCUGUGGCGAAGGCGACUAUCUGGGCCAACACUGACACUGAGGCACGAAAGCGUGGGGAGCAAACAGGAUUAGAUACCCCUGUAGUCCCUGUCUCUUAUAC